RNAcentral lists this unclassified non-coding RNA (244 nucleotides) under Sporormiaceae sp. RNAcentral describes it as "partial contains 5.8S ribosomal RNA, internal transcribed spacer 2, and large subunit ribosomal RNA". The record is from RNAcentral. Lineage: Eukaryota; Fungi; Ascomycota; Dothideomycetes; Pleosporales; Sporormiaceae. RNAcentral also lists the same sequence under 2 other names.
AACGCACAUUGCGCCCUUUGGUAUUCCUUAGGGCAUGCCUGUUCGAGCGUCAUUUAAACCUUCAAGCUCUGCUUGGUGUUGGGUGUCUGUCCCGCCUCGGCGCGGACUCGCCUUAAAUUCAUUGGCGGCCGGUACAUUGGCUUCGAGCGCAGCAGAAACGCGAACUCGGAGACUUUGGAUCAGCUCCCAGAAGCUAUUUUCUAUUUUUGACCUCGGAUCAGGUAGGGAUACCCGCUGAACUUAA